RNAcentral lists this long non-coding RNA (548 nucleotides) under Ananas comosus (pineapple). RNAcentral describes it as "long non-coding RNA (ACOM_LNC004796)". The record is from RNAcentral. Lineage: Eukaryota; Viridiplantae; Streptophyta; Magnoliopsida; Poales; Bromeliaceae.
UGUCACAUUAGCUAAUUAGCUCUAAUUCAACCAAUCCAUAUAGGGUGCAAAUCAAGUAUUAUAUUAGUUAAAAAAUAUAUUUUCUAAUGAAUAUCUAGGUAGGCUGGAAUACUAUCGAUAGCACCAAGGGUUUGGUGCUAUUAGGUUUUUAGCCCUUGGAUUGAGAAAUGUGCGGUUAGGAUGAUGUGGGCCCUUUAGGGUUGAGUGAGUGGUUGGUUGAAUAGUAUAAUCUAACGGAUAAAAAUAAUCAAAGGGUUAAAUCUAACGGUGGAAAACUCGAUAGCACCAAAUCCUUGGUGCUAUCGAUAGUAUCUCAGCCGGACUCUUCUAAUCUCUGUAUAAGAAUCAAAGUAUUUUAAAAAAAUAGUACUCAUCUAUAGGAACCCGUCUCAAAGUUGGAUUAGAGAAAAAAAAAAAAGAAUUCAUCUCUUUUUUUUAUUUUCUUUUCUCUCGAUCUCUAUGUCCAUUUUGGUAUUUCCACCUACGUUUCUAUUAUUUUGGAGGGUAGACGAUUAUGGAAUAAUCUAAUAGCCUCCCACGAUGAUACA